Molecule: ribosomal RNA, 301 nt
Filed under: uncultured bacterium
Lineage: Bacteria
Description: partial 16S ribosomal RNA
Rfam family: Bacterial small subunit ribosomal RNA
Source: RNAcentral
CAGUCGCCGCGGGAAUACGAAGGUCCCGAGCGUUGUUCGGAAUCACUGGGCGUAAAGGGAGCGUAGGCGGCGUGGUAAGUCAGAUGUGAAAUCCCGGGGCUCAACCCCGGAACUGCAUCCGAUACUGCCGUGCUAGAGGAUUGGAGAGGUAGCUGGAAUUCUUGGUGUAGCAGUGAAAUGCGUGGAGACCAAGAGGAACACUCGUGGUGAAAGCGAGCUACUGGACAAUAUCUGACGCUGAGGCUCGAAGGCCAGGGUAGCGAAAGGGAUUAGAUACCCGUGUAGUCCCUGUCUCUUAUAC